AUGCAGCGGGGCCGGGAAGAGGAGGAGGAGGAGGAGGAGGGCGAUGGCGGCCCGGAGCGGGCUCUGGAGAAGAGCCCCUUCCAGCUGACGGCCGGGGAUGUCUAUGACAUCUCCUCCGUGGUGGGCCGGGACCUGCUGCAGCUCAGCGCCGGGCCGCGGGUGCCCGCCGCCCUGGCCCGGCUGCAGUUCAGGAUCGUGAGGGUGCUGGAGAUGUUGGAAGCGCUGGUGAGCGAGAGCAGCCUCGCCGAGGAGCAGCUGCGGAUGGAGCGGGACAGCUUGCGGCGGGAGGUGGAGGAGCUGCGGGGAGAGAGGUCCCGAGGGGGCACCCAGCAGCUCAGCCUUGGACCAGAUAAAAUGAUAAUAGACCUCACAGAUCCAAAUCGCCCCCGGUUCACACUACAGGAGCUGCGAGAUGUAUUGCAAGAGCGUAACCAGCUGAAAGCUCAGCUUCUUGUGGUGCAAGAGGAGCUACAGUGCUAUAAGAGUGGGAUCAUCUCACAGAGAAGGGACCAAACUGAAGAACUGGAAAAAGAAGCCAGUGGCAGCAGCUCUGGCACUAGCAAGGACAGCGAAGAGAAGACAAUCAUCAAACGGCUGUUCUCUUUUAAACAUGGAAAAUGAGCACCCUCAAGAACAUAACCACUCCUGUUCAGAAAUGGCAGUGAUGAGAGCCUCUAAGGUGUUAGGGGAGUCAAUGAGUGGAAGAAAAAGCAUCUCUCCUACUGUAGAGAAUAAGCAAUCUCAUCAAAACUGUGUUGUAUAAUAUUCUUUCAGAAUAGAUUUUACUUUGCUUUUUUAGAAACCAAGACAAACACUUUUUGUAUUUCCUGGAUUCCUGCCAGACAUUAUCCACAUGUACAGAAUAAAUGUUUAUACAAAGGUGGUUUUUAUUCUUAUUAAAAGAGCCUGUGAUGAUCUGUACUGCCACUUACUUAUCCCAUCCACCUAUCAAAAUGCUCAGCCCAAAUGAUUUUGCUAGAUGAAGAUAUUUUUAAGAGCUACAUGCCAUUCACAAGUGCAUGCAUACAAAAGCGCUGGGAAGGAAGAACCCAUUCAGACUGCAGUCCCCACUGCUCUCAUGCAGAAAGUAAUUAUCUUACACUAACACAGAACUGCUUGAAGAAAACCCCAGCACUGCAUUUUUGUUUGCUUUCUUUGCAUUAGAUGGGCAGUACACAGGCAGCAGCACGCAUAAGCCUGUCACACCCCACCCCACCCCACCAAAAGAAGAUGCAGUUGCGCUGUGACAACAGAACGCCUGUACACAUGGGAGUGGCUGGGGUAGAGAUGAAAGAUGGUGGAGAAAAACACAGCAAGGGAGGAAAAGCUGCUGCAUCGUGCUCUGCCCGCAUGAAGGACUGAUGUCUUUUCAGAGGUGCAGACAUCCUCAAACUAGAGCAGAUGCACCAAACAUUUCAUUUCUGGCAGCUAAAGGUCUCCUGUGGUAGACAGUUGUAUUUUUCAUUAGCUCUGUUCUUUCAGUCAGCUGUCACAAGCUGUGUAUUAGCUCAAGUAAUGAGAUUUAUCACUAGUGGAAGCAUAUAGGGCAAACAGAGGAAUAGAAAAAGAAGCUUGAAAGACACUAAUUAGGUUCCACAUUUAGAAAAGCAGAAUUUCCAGAGCAGCAAAAGUCUGAAGAGACUUAAAAAGAGCAGUGACAGAGACAUUGUCUUCAAGUUUUUAAUUUAAAAAAUACAUCACUAAGCCACCUCUCUUGCUGCUGGAGCAUACAACCAGGAUGUUGUUGCUAUUUGACCUAUCACAUAGGCAAGCAUGUAAGAUUGUCCUAGAAGGCAUUAGCUGGAACAGCAGCAGCCUUCAAGACAUGAGGAAUAAGAGACAUUAACAGAGCCACAGAUCCCUUGCUGACAUCUUCCAGCAGCAAGCGCGGCUGAUGGCUCACAGCCAUUUUCAUCUACACACAUGCCAAGCCUGCCUUGGCAAAAAUUCCAACUGGUAAGAAUUCAUCUUUAACAUAAAGGACCUGCAUUGUAUUGCCCGCCUAUAUCACAGAUUUGGUUCUCCGACAGUAACGUUACAAACAUCCGCAAGACGCUAAGCGCUCAACUCCCAUUUAAGACGGUGGGACCAGACCAUGCUGGACAGACCUACAGGACCAGGCAAUAAGGAAUCUACUUUCUUCAUUGCAUGAACUCCAUCAUUACAGUUUGAAGCUGCAUAUGAAGACGACUCCUAUUUUUGGAACCGCUAUGCUCUACUUCAAGCAUUCACAGUAAAUAAAUAGCUUCUGAUGUGGCUAAUUAGCAUAGGAAGAUAAUAAAAAAAUUUUUGGAGAGAGCUUUUUCUUCUUCUUUAAAAUCCUCUGGGAGACACCUCCAAGGAUCAGCCAUCAACUAUAAAAAGGUACCUUCUUAAAUUUUAGAAAAUAAGUAAAUGUCAAACAUUGAUUCUCACUGUGAAGUUCUAUCUUCACAUUUGUAAUCAGUAUCAACCCAGUCUAUCAAAAUCCAUCCUCAUUUGGCUUGGAGUCAUUUCUCUGAAGAAAGCAGCCAAUUUGACCAUCCAUUUCCCUCAGCACCAGUGCAUUUAAAGUUCAUUACCAACAUGAGAUACGACACUGGAAAAAAUGGAUCCCUACCCCAAAUUAUUUGAGAACGAUAGUAGCAUCCAUCUCAGAGAAGCCUGUCAGCACUGGGUUGUAAAAAGCAGUCUGACAAGCAGUCAAGCCAUUGGAUGUACUAGUCAGAGUACAGAAGUACAUCUGCUGUCAUAAAGCUAAUGCCAAGGUCAUCACCCCACAAAGUGGAGCAUGAGAUUUCAUUGCAAAAGCAGAACAACCACCCAAGUGAUUAAGUUUCUGUGCAAGUCUUUGACUGCAUGCUCAAGUGGCACUGGUCACUAUGCAGAAGUAUUCAAAUUUUAGGGAGGGUUUCCUUUUAUGAUAUAAAAGUUUUGGCAAUCUAAGAUCAAUUACUCAAGCCUGCCUAGAAAACUGUAAUAGGUAUUUAAAUACUGCAAAGCAAAAGGAAGUUUUUCAGGAGCUCAGAACACUAAGCAGUCCACUAAGAAAGCUGAGGGAAGUGAGGACAGGAAAGAAAAAAAAAAAUCCACUGACUCCUU
Haliaeetus leucocephalus (bald eagle) is the source of this 3081-nucleotide RNA transcript. It is a transcript of the gene named Rab interacting lysosomal protein-like 2, with no coding region annotated. The transcript has 5 exons. The record is from RefSeq and is a predicted model, not a curated record. Lineage: Eukaryota; Metazoa; Chordata; Aves; Accipitriformes; Accipitridae.